Molecule: transfer RNA, 84 nt
Filed under: Candidatus Beckwithbacteria bacterium GW2011_GWC1_49_16
Lineage: Bacteria; Candidatus Beckwithiibacteriota
Description: tRNA-Leu
Rfam family: tRNA
About the family: Transfer RNA (tRNA) molecules are approximately 80 nucleotides in length. Their secondary structure includes four short double-helical elements and three loops (D, anti-codon, and T loops). Further hydrogen bonds mediate the characteristic L-shaped molecular structure. tRNAs have two regions of fundamental functional importance: the anti-codon, which is responsible for specific mRNA codon recognition, and the 3' end, to which the tRNAs corresponding amino acid is attached (by aminoacyl-tRNA synthetases). tRNAs cope with the degeneracy of the genetic code in two manners: having more than one tRNA (with a specific anti-codon) for a particular amino acid; and 'wobble' base-pairing, i.e. permitting non-standard base-pairing at the 3rd anti-codon position.
Source: RNAcentral
GCCAGGGUGCUGGAAUCGGUAGACAGGCACGGCUUAGGACCGUGUGCCGCUUGCGGCAUGUGGGUUCGACUCCCACCCCUGGCA